Molecule: ribosomal RNA, 490 nt
Filed under: uncultured bacterium
Lineage: Bacteria
Description: partial 16S ribosomal RNA
Rfam family: Bacterial small subunit ribosomal RNA
Source: RNAcentral
AUUGAACGCUGGCGGCAGGCCUAACACAUGCAAGUCGAACGGUAACAGGAAGAAGCUUGCUUCUUUGCUGACGAGUGGCGGACGGGUGAGUAAUGUCUGGGAAACUGCCUGAUGGAGGGGGAUAACUACUGGAAACGGUAGCUAAUACCGCAUAACGUCGCAAGACCAAAGAGGGGGACCUUCGGGCCUCUUGCCAUCGGAUGUGCCCAGAUGGGAUUAGCUAGUAGGUGGGGUAACGGCUCACCUAGGCGACGAUCCCUAGCUGGUCUGAGAGGAUGACCAGCCACACUGGAACUGAGACACGGUCCAGACUCCUACGGGAGGCAGCAGUGGGGAAUAUUGCACAAUGGGCGCAAGCCUGAUGCAGCCAUGCCGCGUGUAUGAAGAAGGCCUUCGGGUUGUAAAGUACUUUCAGCGGGGAGGAAGGGAGUAAAGUUAAUACCUUUGCUCAUUGACGUUACCCGCAGAAGAAGCACCGGUUAACUCCGUG